GGUGACUGCGUACCUUUUGUAUAAUGGGUCAGCGACUUACUUUUAGUGGCAAGGUUAAGCAUUUGCGGAGCCGUAGGGAAACCGAGUCUUAAUAGGGCGUCCAGUCGCUAGGAGUAGACCCGAAACCGAGUGAUCUAUCCAUGGGCAGGUUGAAGAUGCAGUAACAUGCAUUGGAGGACCGAACCGACUGUCGUUGAAAAGCCAGCGGAUGACUUGUGGAUAGGAGUGAAAGGCUAAUCAAACUCGGAGAUAGCUGGUUCUCCUCGAAAACUAUUUAGGUAGUGCCUCGUGUCUAACCAUGGGGGGUAGAGCACUGUUUCGGCUAGGGGGUCAUCCCGACUUACCAACCCGAUGCAAACUCCGAAUACCCAUGAGUUCAAUCACGGGAGACACACGGCGGGUGCUAACGUCCGUCGUGGAAAGGGAAACAACCCAGACCGUCAGCUAAGGUCCCAAAGUUUAUGCUAAGUGGGAAACGAUGUGGGAAGGCUUAGACAGCUAGGAGGUUGGCUUAGAAGCAGCCACCCUUUAAAGAAAGCGUAAUAGCUCACUAGUCGAGUCGGCCCGCGCGGAAGAUAUAACGGGGCUAAGCAUAACACCGAAGCUACGGAUGCACUUUGUGCAUGGUAGAGGAGCGUUCUGUAAGUGGUUGAAGCGAAAGCCGUAAGGCAUCGUGGACAUAUCAGAAGUGCGAAUGCUGACAUGAGUAACGAUAAGGGAGGUGAAAACCCUCCCCGCCGGAAGACCAAGGGUUCCUGUCCAACGCUUUUCGUGGCAGGGUGAGUCGGCCCCUAAGGAGAGGCUGAAGAGCGUAUCCGAUGGGAAACAGGUUAAUAUUCCUGUACUGAUUAUAACUGCGAUGGGGUGACGGAGUAGGCUAGACUAGCACGGCGUUGGUUGUCCGUGUUUAAGGUUGUAGGCUAAGGACUUAGGUAAAUCCGGGUCCUUGUUAGGCUGAGAACCGAUGACGAGUUCCUUUAUGGAAUGAAGUAGUUGAUGCCAUGCUUCCAGGAAAAACCUCUAAGCUUCAGGUUAUAACUAACCGUACCCCAAACCGACACAGGUGGUCAGGUAGAGAAUACUAAGGCGUAUGAGAAAACUCGGGUGAAGGAACUAGGCAAAAUGGCACCGUAACUUCGGGAGAAGGUGCGCCGGUUUUGGUGAUGGGACUUGCUCCCUAAGCUGAGGCCGGUCGAAGAUACCAGGUGGCUGCGACUGUUUAUUAAAAACAUAGCACUCUGCAAACUCGAAAGAGGACGUAUAGGGUGUGACGCCUGCCCGGUGCCGGAAGGUUAAUUGAUGGGGUUAGCGCUUGCGCGAAGCUCUUGAUCGAAGCCCCGGUAAACGGCGGCCGUAACAAUAACGGUCCUAAGGUAGCGAAAUUCCUUGUCGGGUAAGUUCCGACCUGCACGAAUGGCGUAACGACUUCCCCGCUGUCUCCAACAUAGACUCAGCGAAAUUGAAUUACCGGUCAAGAUGCCGGUUACCCGCGGUUAGACGGAAAGACCCCGUGCACCUUUACUACAACUUCACACUGGCAUUAGGCCGAACAUGUGCAGGAUAGGUGGUGGGCUUUGAAGCGUGGACGCCAGUCUGCGUGGAGCCUCCCUUGAGAUACCACCCUUGUUCUGCUUGAUGUCUAACCGCGGUCCGUUAUCCGGAUCCGGGACCCUGUGUGGUGGGUAGUUUGACUGGGGCGGUCUCCUCCCAAAGAGUAACGGAGGAGCACGAAGGUACCCUCAGCAUGGUCGGAAAUCAUGCAAUGAGCGCAAGAGUAGAAGGGUGCUUGACUGCGAGAUAGACACAUCGAGCAGGUACGAAAGUAGGUUCUAGUGAUCCGGUGGUUCUGUAUGGAAGGGCCAUCGCUCAACGGAUAAAAGGUACUCCGGGGAUAACAGGCUGAUACCGCCCAAGAGUUCACAUCGACGGCGGUGUUUGGCACCUCGAUGUCGGCUCAUCACAUCCUGGGGCUGAAGCCGGUCCCAAGGGUAUGGCUGUUCGCCAUUUAAAGUGGUACGCGAGCUGGGUUUAGAACGUCGUGAGACAGUUCGGUCCCUAUCUGCCGUGGGCGUUUGAGAUUUGAGAAGAGUUGCUCCUAGUACGAGAGGACCGGAGUGGACGAACCGCUGGUGUUCGGGUUGUUUUGCCAAAGGCAUUGCCCGGUAGCUACGUUCGGAACGGAUAACCGCUGAAAGCAUCUAAGCGGGAAGCUUCCUUCAAGAUGAGAUCUCACUGGGAACUUGAUUCCCCUAAAGGGCCGUUGAAGACUACGACGUUGAUAGGUUGGGUGUGGAAGCGCUGUGAGGCGUUGAGCUAACCAAUACUAAUUGCCCGUGAGGCUUGACC
This 2346-nucleotide ribosomal RNA is filed under the name Pseudo-nitzschia pungens. RNAcentral describes it as "partial Bacterial large subunit ribosomal RNA". It matches the Rfam family "Bacterial large subunit ribosomal RNA", at positions 592 to 2925 of the family's 2925-position model. The record is from RNAcentral. Lineage: Eukaryota; Bacillariophyta; Bacillariophyceae; Bacillariales; Bacillariaceae.